Molecule: ribosomal RNA, 759 nt
Filed under: uncultured Staphylococcus sp.
Lineage: Bacteria; Bacillati; Bacillota; Bacilli; Caryophanales; Staphylococcaceae
Description: bacterial SSU rRNA
Rfam family: Bacterial small subunit ribosomal RNA
Source: RNAcentral
CUAAUACAUGCAAGUCGAGCGAACAGACGAGGAGCUUGCUUCUCUGACGUUAGCGGCGGACGGGUGAGUAACACGUGGAUAACCUACCUAUAAGACUGGGAUAACUUCGGGAAACCGGAGCUAAUACCGGAUAAUAUAUUGAACCGCAUGGUUCAAUAGUGAAAGACGGUUUUGCUGUCACUUAUAGAUGGAUCCGCGCCGCAUUAGCUAGUUGGUAAGGUAACGGCUUACCAAGGCAACGAUGCGUAGCCGACCUGAGAGGGUGAUCGGCCACACUGGAACUGAGACACGGUCCAGACUCCUACGGGAGGCAGCAGUAGGGAAUCUUCCGCAAUGGGCGAAAGCCUGACGGAGCAACGCCGCGUGAGUGAUGAAGGUCUUCGGAUCGUAAAACUCUGUUAUUAGGGAAGAACAAAUGUGUAAGUAACUAUGCACGUCUUGACGGUACCUAAUCAGAAAGCCACGGCUAACUACGUGCCAGCAGCCGCGGUAAUACGUAGGUGGCAAGCGUUAUCCGGAAUUAUUGGGCGUAAAGCGCGCGUAGGCGGUUUUUUAAGUCUGAUGUGAAAGCCCACGGCUCAACCGUGGAGGGUCAUUGGAAACUGGAAAACUUGAGUGCAGAAGAGAAAAGUGGAAUUCCAUGUGUAGCGGUGAAAUGCGCAGAGAUAUGGAGGAACACCAGUGGCGAAGGCGACUUUCUGGUCUGUAACUGACGCUGAUGUGCGAAAGCGUGGGGAUCAAACAGGAUUAGAUACCCUG